RNAcentral lists this unclassified non-coding RNA (322 nucleotides) under Hevea brasiliensis (rubber tree). The record is from RNAcentral. Lineage: Eukaryota; Viridiplantae; Streptophyta; Magnoliopsida; Malpighiales; Euphorbiaceae.
GUGAAGCGAUGGAAACUGAUGAUACUCCAGCAGCUGAGAUCAGCACAUCUCCUGAGAGAUUGCAAGCAUUCAGUGCAGCACUUGGUAGGCACAGGAACUUACAACAUGUGGAACAAAUUCCAGUUGCUGAUGUGGAGAAUGUUGUCAACAAUGGGGCGACUGUACCUUACUCAAAGGCGGAGAUAGAGAAAUUAUUAAAGAUGAUGGAAGAGAAAGGCCAAUUGUGGGUACACAGUGAUACCAAUGUAGUUUACUUCAUGUAAAUCGGUCCAAUUGGAGCGCUCGCAAGUUCAGUUGUCUCCUUUCUGAUGGAUUGUCCAAG